UUAUUAGAUGGGGCAUGGAGUCUGAAAAAACUCGAAGAGGGAUGGUGUGUUGUCUAUCAGCUUCAUCUUUUGUAAUAUUGACGAGACUGGAGUUAAAUAACAGCACUACACUU
Small nucleolar RNA from Erigeron canadensis, 113 nucleotides. RefSeq annotates it as small nucleolar RNA snoR97. The record is from RefSeq and is a predicted model, not a curated record. The transcript has a single exon. Lineage: Eukaryota; Viridiplantae; Streptophyta; Magnoliopsida; Asterales; Asteraceae.